AGAGUUUGAUCAUGGCUCAGGACGAACGCUGGCGGCGUGCUUAACACAUGCAAGUCGAACGAGACGAUUGAAAGCUUGCUUUUGAAAGUCGAGUGGCAAACGGGUGAGUAACGCGUAGACAACCUGCCGUAAAGAUGGGGACAACAGUCCGAAAGGACUGCUAAUACCGAAUGUUGUAAAUCUUCCACAUGGAAGACUUACUAAAGGUGGCCUCUACUUGUAAGCUAUCGCUUUACGAUGGGUCUGCGUCUGAUUAGCUGGUUGGUGGGGUAACGGCCUACCAAGGCGACGAUCAGUAGCCGGUCUGAGAGGAUGAACGGCCACAUUGGAACUGAGACACGGUCCAGACUCCUACGGGAGGCAGCAGUGGGGAAUCUUCCGCAAUGGGCGCAAGCCUGACGGAGCAACGCCGCGUGAGUGAAGAAGGGUUUCGACUCGUAAAGCUCUGUUGUCGGGGACGAACGUGGAGACGGCGAAUAGCCGUUUCCAAUGACGGUACCUGACGAGGAAGCCACGGCUAACUACGUGCCAGCAGCCGCGGUAAUACGUAGGUGGCGAGCGUUGUCCGGAAUUAUUGGGCGUAAAGGGAGCGCAGGCGGGAAGGUAAGUCUAUCUUAAAAGUGCGGGGCUCAACCCCGUGAGGGGAUGGAAACUAUCUUUCUUGAGUGCAGGAGAGGAAAGCGGAAUUCCUAGUGUAGCGGUGAAAUGCGUAGAUAUUAGGAGGAACACCAGUGGCGAAGGCGGCUUUCUGGACUGUAACUGACGCUGAAGCUCGAAAGUGCGGGUAUCGAACAGGAUUAGAUACCCUGGUAGUCCGCACGGUAAACGAUGGAUGCCCGCUGUUGGUCUGAACAGGUCAGCGGCCAAGCGAAAGCAUUAAGCAUCCCACCUGGGGAGUACGCCGGCAACGGUGAAACUCAAAGGAAUUGACGGGGGCCCGCACAAGCGGAGGAACAUGUGGUUUAAUUCGAUGAUACACGAGGAACCUUACCCGGGCUUGAAUUGCAGAGGAAGGAUUUGGAGACAAUGACGCCCUUCGGGGUCUCUGUGAAGGUGCUGCAUGGUUGUCGUCAGCUCGUGCCGUGAGGUGUCGGCUUAAGUGCCAUAACGAGCGCAACCCCUCUCCUUAGUUGCCAUCAGGUUAAGCUGGGCACUCUGGGGACACUGCCACCGUAAGGUGUGAGGAAGGUGGGGAUGACGUCAAAUCAGCACGGCCCUUACGUCCGGGGCUACACACGUGUUACAAUGGCAGGUACAGAGAGACGGUUGUACGUAAGUACGAUCAAAUCCUUAAAGCCUGUCUCAGUUCGGACUGGGGUCUGCAACCCGACCCCACGAAGCUGGAUUCGCUAGUAAUCGCGCAUCAGCCAUGGCGCGGUGAAUACGUUCCCGGGCCUUGUACACACCGCCCGUCAAGCCAUGAAAGCCGGGGGCGCCUAAAGUCCGUGACCGUAAGGAGCGGCCUAGGGCGAAACUGGUAAUUGGGGCUAAGUCGUAACAAGGUA
This 1505-nucleotide ribosomal RNA is filed under the name metagenome. RNAcentral's name for it is "bacterial SSU rRNA". It matches the Rfam family "Bacterial small subunit ribosomal RNA". The record is from RNAcentral.